This 69-nucleotide transfer RNA is filed under the name Ictidomys tridecemlineatus (thirteen-lined ground squirrel). RNAcentral's name for it is "Spermophilus tridecemlineatus (thirteen-lined ground squirrel) tRNA". It matches the Rfam family "tRNA". Rfam says of the family: Transfer RNA (tRNA) molecules are approximately 80 nucleotides in length. Their secondary structure includes four short double-helical elements and three loops (D, anti-codon, and T loops). Lineage: Eukaryota; Metazoa; Chordata; Mammalia; Rodentia; Sciuridae. The record is from Rfam by way of RNAcentral.
GGGGUUGUAGCUCAGAGGUAGAGCACUUGCCUUGCAUGCAUGAGGUCCUGGGUUUCAUCCUCAGCACCA